UGCGUAACGCGUGGGAAUCUGCCCUUGGGUUCGGAAUAACGUCGGGAAACUGACGCUAAUACCGGAUGAUGACGUAAGUCCUAAGAUUUAUCGCCCAGGGAUGAGCCCGCGUAGGAUUAGCUAGUUGGUAAGGUAAACGCUAACCAAGGCGACGAUCCUUAACUGGUCUGAGAGGAUGAUAACCCACACUGGGACUGAAACACGGCCCACACUCCUACGGCAGGCACCAGUACGGAAUAUUGGACAAUGGGGGCAACCCUGAUCCAUCAAUGCCGCGUGAGUGAUGAAGGCCUUAGGGUUGUAAAGCUCUUUUACCCGGGAUGAUAAUGACAGUACCGGGAGAAUAAGCCCCGGCUAACUCCGUGCCACCAGCCGAGGUAAUACGGAGGGGGCUAGCGUUGUUCGGAAUUACUGGGCGUAAAGCGCACGUAGGCGGCGAUUUAAUUCAGGGGUGAAAGCCCAGUGCUCAACACUGGAACUGCCCUUGAGACUGGAUUGCUUGAAUCACGGACAGGUGGGUGGAAUUCCGAGUGUAGAGGUGAAAUUCGUAUAUAUUCGAAAUAACACCAGUGG
RNAcentral lists this ribosomal RNA (573 nucleotides) under Sphingomonas sp. RNAcentral describes it as "bacterial SSU rRNA". It matches the Rfam family "Bacterial small subunit ribosomal RNA", at positions 107 to 715 of the family's 1533-position model. The record is from RNAcentral. Lineage: Bacteria; Pseudomonadati; Pseudomonadota; Alphaproteobacteria; Sphingomonadales; Sphingomonadaceae.